UACGAAGGGGGCUAGCGCUGUUCGGAAUUACUGGGCGUAAAGGGCGCGUAGGCGGUGUGUCAAGUCAGGCGUGAAAGCCCCGGGCUCAACCUGGGAACAGCGCUUGAGACUGGCACGCUCGACUUCGGGAGAGGAUGGUGGAAUUCCCAGUGUAGAGGUGAAAUUCGUAGAUAUUGGGAAGAACACCGAUGGCGAAGGCAGCCAUCUGGACCGACACUGACGCUGAGGCGCGAAAGCGUGGGGAGCAAACAGG
RNAcentral lists this ribosomal RNA (253 nucleotides) under uncultured bacterium. Its description in RNAcentral is "partial 16S ribosomal RNA". It matches the Rfam family "Bacterial small subunit ribosomal RNA", at positions 524 to 776 of the family's 1533-position model. The record is from RNAcentral.